Non-coding RNA from Molorchus minor, 82 nucleotides. The record is from the annotation of a GenBank genome assembly. NCBI's taxonomy places the organism in Eukaryota, Metazoa, Arthropoda, Insecta, Coleoptera, Cerambycidae.
GUCAGGUUGGCCGAGCGGUCUAAGGCGCCGAAUUUAAGCUCUGGUUCUCGAAAGGAAGCGUGGGAUCGAACCCCACCUGACA